UUGGCUGCAGGGGCCUGGGGGGCAGAGAGAAGCCUUCUCUUCAUGGGGGCGCAGAGCGCAUUCUCCCUAGAAAGGGCCUCCUCCCUUCGCGUCCAGGUCGCAAACCGGGGACAUGAGGGGUCGGGGCGCUCUCUCUGUUCUGGCGCGGGAGAGGGUCCGGGACCAGCAGUUUCACGUCCCGGGGGUCCCGCCCAGAACACGGAGGCGUCCCUCCCUUUGGGGGCACCGACGGGAACAAGGGAUUUCGGCUAAGCGUGCUCAGAGACACGGCGAGGGGAGGAGGGUGCCACUGACCGAGGCCAUGGGCAGCUGUGGCGGGCAAGUCGAGUGCCAGAGCAACACCUGGGCGAAGGCCGCCUCUGCACAGCUCCCAGCAGGUGGAGCCAGCCGGGACUGAGCCCCAGGACCCCCCCCCUCCCCAGCCGCAUGAGGUGCCGCCCAUGGGACUCUCCUCCCGUUCCUGAUGCAGUGCGUGCAGGUUGACCUGAAGCUGCGGGUGGAGAAGCUGAACGUGACCAUGGUGCCCGGGGUUGCGGGGGCUGGCGAGGGACCCAGCCCCCCCAGGCUGCCAACCAAGGAGACGAAAGAGGACCGAGAGGAGCGCGUCCUUGCCAUGCUGGGCAUCGUGGGCACCAUCCUGAACCUGCUGGUCAUCAUCUUCGUCUACAUUUACACCACCAUUUAGGCUCCAGGCGUGACCACCGGGGCCACCCUCGUGCCCUUCAAGGUGGCUGGCGGAAGCCAUGCAGGACGGGCAGCAGGAAGGGCCUGGACUGGCAUGGAGCUGUGCCAUCAUGUCCCGGAAGGUGGACUACCGUUGCCCACGGGGCUUAGCCACUUUGAGGAACUUGGCAUUAAAACCCGGCUUUGCAGCCGCCACUACCUGGGGCUACCAGGACUGAAACUGCCUGGUGGCAUGAGACACUGCCCAGUCCGUUUAAGCAGCCUCUGCCCACAAUGCCCGGUGCCCACCUGCACAUGCGCAGAGGCAUCCAGCCCUUUCCAGGGGAGAGGCUUUGCCUUCUCCUGCCGGAAGGCAACCGACGUAGGGAGGGGGUCCCUUUGUGCCGCCGGGCAUGCCUGGAUGUGGCAGACGUGAGGAGCGGAAGGUUGAACACCCGGCCGUUGCAUCCUCUUCCUAUGCGCGACACUUGUAAACACCAACAAGCACAACACCUGCUCUUCCCCUCCCUUCCUCCUCCGUGGGAAGCCGUCACUGCCACAGAGACCCAAAUGGGGUCCGGGACAGGCUCUGGGAAGCAGGAGGCCUCUGUCUUCUAGCAGCGGGUCCUUUUCUCCGGCACAGCUUCCAGCCCAAAUUUCUCACCAGCCAGCCCCCUGUCUCCAAGCAUCCUCCUCCUCCACCACCACCCCUCCGAACCCUGUGAGAGCAGGUCCUGCAACUGCCUGGCCUGCUCCCGAGGGUGGUGUCUCGCAUCCUGGCACCUGAUGCGGCCCUCUCCUCAAACCAGCACCCACGUCACGCCUGGGAGUCCCUUGCAGGGAGGCCGUCCACCUGGAGCCGCCUCUCGCCUGAAGAAGCCCUUGAUACAUUUGGGGGUCGCGCCAGCAUCCCCAGCCUUAACACGCCACUCCCCCUCCAGGAAAUGCCAAGGUGGUUAAUUCCGGGGCCCUGGGCAAGGAAGGGCAAGGCCAAUCCGGGCCUCCUCUGUCCAAGUGCUUUACCCCCCCCCAGCUGGUGCUGGGGCGGUACCCACCCAUCCACCCUUGGUGCCACCGAUAGUCUGUGCAGAUGAGCCUCAUGCCCUUGACCUAGAGAAGGGAGCCCUUCAGGACCCCCUGGAGCCGUUAGCCCACGGCUGGAAGAAGAU
Non-coding RNA from Pogona vitticeps (central bearded dragon), 1832 nucleotides. NCBI's taxonomy places the organism in Eukaryota, Metazoa, Chordata, Lepidosauria, Squamata, Agamidae. The record is from RefSeq and is a predicted model, not a curated record.